ACGACUAGAGUCCUGGAACGGAUUAAGUUCGUGAGCCAAGGUACCAUUGUAUUCACUUAAUCCUAGGCUAUUUCAUUUGCAAACCAAUUUGAGCAGAAAUUAAAUAAAGCUGAUUGAAUUUCCCAUUUGUAAUACUUUAUAAUGUAGUGAUUUCAGUUUUAAAGACUUGCUGUAGGGAUGAAAAAAAGCAAGAUUGCUUAUUUUCAUGUUAUUUUGAAAACAGUAUGCAAAAUACCCCCACCUGUUUUGGUGAGGAAAGAAGACUAAUGUAAUAGUCAAGGCUUGUCAGCCUCAACAUGGAUCAGUAUUUUCCAGAAAAAUCAUGCAUUUCCCUGCUCUCUUUCCCCUCUUGACAGCGGAAACAUGAAGUUGAACCUAUCUCAAGGGUAUCUUGUGAUUUAAAUUUGGACAACUGUCCAGUGAAGUGGAUGUUAUUGGGAAGGAGGAGUGAAUUCUUCAUAUAUACUGUUUCUCACAUAGAAGUGGUAACAUAGUUUUUCUUAUGUACUUAUAUAAGAUAGUGGAAUGUUUUGGUGGGCAUGGGUAGAGAAUAAUGAGGAUAAUGGAGGUGGUGAAUCAGAGCAUAGUCAUCCACAGGUUCUGAAGGAAAUAAAGUAUCAGACAUUAAAUCAGAAGAUUGAUUACAAAAGGACAGUGAAUAUGCACUGACUUUCAAAGAAAGACAUUGGUUACCUUGAGUUCCUUUGAGUUUAUAGUUCCAUCUGUGGGACUGUAUAAAAGAAUGCAGAAGAUUGAAAUAUGUAAUCACUGGUUAUCAGAUCCCUGCCUUAGUCUCAUGCUUCUAAUAUAUGGUGGAAUGCCCUCCACAUUUGUAGGUGUUGGGGUCACAGGCCCCCCACGAAAGUGGAAAAACUGCAAAUAUUUCUAGCCCCUCCCCCUCACAAAACCGUAACACUCAAUACUGUUGACCGUAUGUACACUGGAUUGCUUCUUCCUCUCAGAUCAUAUUCUCUUCAUUUAUUACAUUCUUAUGUUAUUCCCCACCCUCCCUUUCAUUCUCUUUGCACCAAGGAAAUGCUGGAGAUACUCCCCUCUCUGGAUAGAUGGGGCAAGAAGGCAUGCUUUAGAAGCCCCCCUCCCCUUCUGCUGCUGCUGCUGCUGUUUUUCUGCAAUAGGCCACAAAACUUUUUAAAAAGGUCCAUUUAAUUGAUGAUGGCAAAUAUGCAGAUAAUCUAAUCCAUGAAAGUUAAACCCGUGGAAGUUGAGGUUCAACUGCAUAGAAGUUGUAGGUUUGGACCUCAUGGAAUCCCCGUGACCAUAUUUCCCAAAAGGGAGUAUAAGGAUAAACCUGAAGCAAUGCAGCUCCAAAGCAAAUCAUUCCAAGAUGAGACCCAGGUGAAGUGUGAAGCCAAUGGUGUUGUCACAGACUCUUCUCCCAUCCAGCCAUCAGAACCUAACCUGGCAAAAAGCCUAUGGACUUCCAAACCACCUCCCCUUUUCCAUGAGGGAGCACCAUAUCCUCCUCCUUUGUUUAUCAGGGACACAUAUAACCAGUCAAUACCUCAGCCUCCGCCUCGGAAGAUUAAACGGCCCAAGCGGAAAAUGUACAGGGAGGAACCCACUUCUAUUAUGAAUGCUAUCAAACUACGACCAAGACAGGUCUUGUGUGACAAAUGUAAGAACAGUAUUGUUGCAGAAAAAAAAGAAAUCAAGAAGGGCAGCAAUGCAAGUGAUUCCUCAAGGUAUGAGGAUAGUAGAAAACGAAGGAAUGAGAGCAUAACUACUGUGAAUAAAAAAAUUAAAACUGAUCAUAAAGUUGAUGGGAAAAGCCAAAAUGAAAGCCAGAAAAAGAAUUCUGUGGUCAAAGUUGCAACUAUUGCCAGCAGAAGCAGAGUAGUCAAAGUUCCCACUCAAGCAAAUACAUCAAAAACACAGUUAAAUACGAAAAAGGUUCUCCAGAGCAAAAACAUGGAUCAUGCAAAAGCUCGGGAAGUUUUGAAAAUAGCCAAAGAGAAGGCACAAAAGAAACAGAGUGCAACCUCUACUUCCAAAAAUGCACAUUCAAAGGUCCACUUCACACGGCGUCUUCAGAACACCAGCUCAGGUUCCCUGCCUCCACGAUUGCGCCUAAAGCCACAAAGGUACCGAAAUGAAGAAAACGACUCCUCUCUCAAGACAGGGCUUGAGAAAUUGCAGAGUGGCAAGAUGGCAGCUAAGCCCCAGUCUCGCUGCUCCUCUACCCGCUCAGCAGGUGAGGCCCCUUCAGAAAAUCAGAGCCCCUCAGAAGGUCCUGAAGAGGCCAGCAGUGAGGUUCAGGACACAAAUGAAGUGCAUGUUCCUGUUGAUCAGGAUGAACAGCAGACACUGAGCAAGAGAGGCAGCAAAAGCAAUAUAACAGUUUACAUGACCCUUAAUAAAAAGAAAUCUGACUCUUCCAGUGCAUCAGUGUGUAGUAGUGAUAGCACAGAUGACUUGAAGUCUACCAACUCUGAGUGUAGCACUACUGAAAGCUUUGAUUUUCCUCCAGGCAGCAUGCAUGCACCUUCUUCCUCCUCCUCGGCCUCUUCAAAGGAAGAGAAAAAGCUCAGUAAUUCCUUGAAAAUGAAAGUCUUUUCAAAAAAUGUCUCUAAAUGUGUCACACCAGAUGGCAGGACCAUAUGUGUAGGAGACAUUGUUUGGGCCAAGAUCUAUGGCUUCCCCUGGUGGCCAGCCCGUAUUCUUACUAUAACUGUGAGCAGGAAAGAUAACGGCCUUUUAGUCCGGCAGGAAGCGCGUAUUUCAUGGUUUGGGUCCCCAACAACAUCUUUCCUUGCUCUUUCACAGCUGUCCCCUUUUUUAGAAAACUUUCAGUCGCGAUUUAAUAAGAAGAGAAAAGGUCUUUACCGCAAGGCCAUUACAGAAGCAGCUAAGGCUGCUAAGCAGCUAACUCCUGAAGUUCGGGCCCUGCUGACACAGUUUGAAACAUGAACAUGAAAAGUAAGGUAGGCAAGAAAUGUGGAGGCUCCUUGAAAUACAUAGUCUAGUUAAAACACCAUGAAGGACUUGGCCAAUUAAACACAAAAUUGCACUCAGUUGGCUGCUUUUUUAUACUGAAAUUUCCAUUUGUAGCAUUGUCUUGACUGAAAGGUAUACUUAACAAAUUGUACAUGCAAUCAAAUUAACCUAAAGAGAGAGCUCAGUAUUUUUCAAGAGGACUUACUUUUUUUUGGUAAAAGUUAAAAUUCCUCUGACCACCCCAUGCACAGGAGCCAUAACCUCAGCUGAAGAGCAGUUUAUUUGCAGGGAAUUUUUACUAGUUUCUACCCACUAUAUAUACCAUUUCAAUGUGUGGAAAGGGAUGGGGAGGGGCAGUUAUUACAAGAGAUGGAAGUUGUUGACAUGAACUGGAUAGUCCACCUGAAAUGCAGAUGCCUAGGUCCUGGCCAAGCCUUGAAUGUUGUUUUGGUUUUUACCCCAGACUAAUCCUAAUAGUGUGAGUGGGCCCAAAGAGUUCAGCCUAUGCCUAAAAACACUUUCAUUCCCACUGGCCACUUUAAAACUUUUUAGAAACCAAUUUAAUUUGAACUCUGUUAGAAAUGUUUAAUCAUUAGUAAAUGGGUCUUGGUGGUCACUUCUUUCCGAACACUGUUAUGCUAUGCACGUAGGAAUAGAAGUAUGAACUUCAGGUUUUGGCAAGUUAGGAGGAAGCCAGUUGCUCAGAGACAGGUCUGGAUAGUCCCUCCAUAUUUGGGAUCAAGGGCUGUAAAUGCUGCAUUAGGUGUGAAUCAUAACUUUCUAUGGGAUGGUGGGGGGGUACUCUUAGGACAAUUGUCUUGGAGGGUUUAGUUUGAGAGAUUUUGUGUUGUGUAAAUAAUUAGUCAGAUUUUUUUUCCUGACUACUUGUUCUUAAAUUCUUAGGCUACGUCCUAGUAAAUUACACUUUGUGAACUGUCAGAUGUGUAAUUGUUGCAUUUGGAUGUACCGAACUGCAUAUUUUUUUUAAAAUAUUUCCAUUUAAGGUAUCUGUUUGCAGGUCAGAAAAUAUGGCAAAUGUAAUUGUGUAAUGCUCUGAAAUGUACAAAAAAACUGUAAAUAAAAUUGACUAAAUCUAAUUAUUUGUGUGUGUUUCUCAAAAAGCUUUGAAAAGAUCAGGAAACGAGGCUAUUUUCUGUUUACACAUAUAGGAGAUACUUUAAAAGAAACAAUUCUCUCUCAGCACCAUCCAAACUAGGUUCAUUAACUACAUAAGAUACUAUUUGGUGUUCAAAAGCUAAAGUUCUAGUUUUUGAGAAAUCAGUUAAAUCUGUUUCCCCUAAGAAAAUGGUUUUCUUUGUUCUGUCAAAAUAUAUCCAGUAAGAUAACUAUUUUCCACCAUUUGAUGGUUCUUAAUCCUUUUGCCUAAAUCCUGUUAGAUCUUUCACAUGUCUCAUGCUCUGCACUGGGAUUUUUAAUGCCGUUGACUCACUUAAAUACUUCCUAAUGGGCUCAGUUUGUGACUCCACACCAUUGUGAAAACUGCCUAAUUUAUUCCUAAGAAAUUCACAUCACAGUUUUAUGAGUAGGCUUUUAAUUUUUUUUUAAAAAGGAAAGACUUGAAGCUAAACUAAACUCAAAUUGUGUAUCUCAAAUGCACAGUCCAAGCAUUUAAUGACCAAAGGCCCUGUUGUGACAGUUUGAUGCUAAGGUAUGUUUUCAUAAUAUUCCAACAUUAAACUUGAUCAAAAAACACUUUAAGCAUUAACCUGAUCCUGUGUACGUAGUUUCAAAAUCUGUUUCAAUUAGUUUCUCACCUUUGCUAAAGAACUCCUUGCAAUAAUGCUAGGUGAGCAUACAUUUUCGAUUUUUAGAAAAACUUGCAUUUAGUCAAUGCUUUUUGACAUUAGAGAACACACAAAAUUAAUAGCGUUCAAUUAAUCCUGUUUCGCUCCUGUUCUGUGUAUUCUUUCCUGCAAACAGAAACAAAUACCGUAUUUAACUAAAUGAGCAAAAAUGUAGUCUAUCGUUUCUUUUCAUGCAGACUGCUCAGAAUUUUUAAAAAAUGGACAAUGUAGCAAGACGGCUGUUAGCGUUUACUGCAAAUCUUAAAAUGCAGCUUAGUUCAGGGCUAUUAUGCACUUUAUGAAAUCAUUAGGUGUACCUGGGUGUGCUUGCUGAUUUCAUAAUGCUUUAACCAGUCCUUGGCGGGAAAGUGUGGUCAAAACUUAAGGGUAAUAUUUGAUUAUGCAAGUCGUCUGUGAUCUUACCACAUCACAGCCUUUCCAGUCUACUGUUGGGCAGAUGUUUUGGACUUCAAUUCCCAAUUAGCCCCAGCUACCUUGGCCAAUGGAUGGAUGUACUGGGGACUGUAGAUCCCAACACAUCAGGAAGGCACCAGAUUAGAGACAGCUGCCAUAUUGAAUAGAGGCAGCUUUGCACAUUUGGAGUACUUCUCUGGGUAUAACAGAUUUCUGAGGACUUGGUAAGAACUGACAAUAGUCUUGUCUUUAAAAUUACUAUGUUUACAACUCCACGGAACGAUUACAUUUCUAAUGGUUGCAAUUUGGCAGGCCUUACAUGACUUAAUGCUAAGCAGAAAAUUUUAAUUCUGUGAGCAAAGUCCAAUGUUGUGAAAGCAGAAGUAGGCUUAUACAAUAGGAUUUUCUCCACACACUCAAAUUUGCUCUGGAGGGUCCCAACUUUCUGGAGCAGAUUUUGAGGGUGAACGGGAGGGGCUGCAGGAGGGAUUAAAAAUAGCCCCCUGCUCUGUUGUUAAAACAGUUCUGUCUGCAAGAAAAAUAGAAUGGCACCUUCAUUUUUUUCUCAGUGAUUUGCACUCAAUUUGGUAUCCUUUUGAAAAUGCUCUGUUACUUUGUUAUCUGCUCAAAUCCUAGGGAUCUUUAGUGACAUUUUGAUGCUACCAGCAAAGGACUCUUCUAACUGGUUUAAUUUUAGAAACCAGAGACAUCAUACAGUAAAUAUCAGUCCAAUUUGCUGUAUGUCAUCAAAUGGACUACUGUGGUUUAUUUUGAUUCCUGUUCUCAGAGAUGAAGGCAAAAUCAGCUGUUCAAGAAAGGGUACCAGUCUACAGGGCUUGACUUCAAGAGUCCGGCUGCUGACCUUCCUCCAUCUGCAGUGUAAUUGUGCCCCUCCCCAGAAUAAUCAGUUUAGAAUUGUAGGACCCUUCAGGGAAUGGUCUUGGGAGCUGCAGAGGAGAAUGCGAUAGAAAGUGAUGACACACGCACUCCGUGAACAGCCAGGAUCUUUGUAUUCAAGCUGUUGAAUUUUAGCCAAAAUAACUAAAUUAUUCAAUUAAAAAGCUGUUUUAAAACAAGGAUCCAUUGUAUUUCAACAGCUCUUUAAAUAUUAUGUUUAAUUAUCUGGUUAAUUUUACUCUAACCCUUGCUUUAAAUAGAUAUCACAUGGAUACAUAUUUUAGCAUUGCUCAGAUCUAGCAUAAUUUGCAUCAGACUGAAUGUAGUCAGCCUAAAAAAAUCAACCAAUUUUGGAAUUCAGAACAAAUGUUAGAAUGUGUGUGCUCUUUUGUAUUAUAGCCACAGUAAGUUAACCAUAGAAAAAUUCAAACAAGAAUGAUCAAGUAUAUUUAUUUUAACAUCCUUUUAGUAUGUGUUAAUCUCUCUAGGCAGGUCCUCCCACAGCUUAGUAUUGGGCCAAAGGCACACUUAAGAAAGGUCAAGUGACAGCCAGCGAGCAAGCAAGAAGCAGCUUAAAUGAUACAUUUACUAAGGUUAAAAUGAGAACUCGCAGCUAUUUCUACGCUCAGUGAGAGGGAUGACAAAAGUAGUAAACAGUAGGCUCCAAAUGCAGGUGAAUAGUCACUAGAAUAAAAUAGGCCUGUACAGCUGGAAAGCAGUUAGCUGACACAAAGAAAAACAGUGAACUAAUGGGACUGCUGCAGCUGCUAGAGAGGAAUCUCUGUAUUCAGGCCCCACUGAUGGCUUGGUAUUAGUUCGUAAUGAGUGGGCAGUGCUGGAUUUGAAGUCCAAUUGGAACAUACAACAGAUUUGUCUUAGUGGUGGCUGAUUUAGGCUAUUUAAACUUACUGAAUAAAGAAUACCAAGUAGCUUUGGUGGGAGGGAGAUAAAACCAAGUCUGAAUUUGCAUUAUGAGAGCAUAGAAACCUCAGUCGGUGAAGUGAAUGAGCCGUGAAACUGAAUAGUGGGAGACUCAAGGCAGAUAAAAGGAAAGACUUCUUCAAAAACAUGACUCCACUUGGACAUCUUGAAAAGGGAAUCAACAAAUUUAUUGAGGCUAAGGCUAUAUAUGACCUCAGCAUCAAGGGAAAUAUGCCUCCAUGGCAGUUGCCAGGGAGCUAUGUGAGAGAAGACACUAUUGCGUGCAUAUUCAGCUUUAGGGCUUCCCAUAACUAUUUGGUCAUGGUGGGAACAAAAUACAGGUCUAGAUAGGCUUUCUGUCUGACCUGGUACAGCCUUUCACACAUCCUGAGAGUCAGAUGCCUGCAGGCUUGUUUCUCAGUGGCUGGGCUCUCUUGAGGGACAGCUUCCUCCAGGGGGAUCCAAGUGCAUCCUCAUGCUCUCCCCGUUGUACCUGGAUGACUGAGAGUGACCUUGGUGUAGGGAGGCUGAUUCUUACUCGCCGUCCUUGUUGCGCGGCACCCAGGCCCUCACAGGCAGAUGGCGUGGUGGCGCGCUUCAUCCCUCGGGUCCCUGUAGUAUGCAUGUGCCCCACUUACACACCCAUUCUUAGUUAACAGCUGGUGAUCUGUGUUCUGAACUAUUAUGUGAUUGGCAAGCAAAUUCCAAUGAAGUGUGUUAGUGUUCACAUGCUACAUAUACUGUAACAGGGCAUAUAAGAAUUCAGAUUUAUGGUUGCAACCCUUAAUUCACUUUUAAAAUGUUGUUCUGGUGAAAUCUUUACAAAAUUGUAAAACAGGCACUUGAUGGUCUGAUGCAAGUUGUGCAGAUGCUGAGCAUGUUACAUGAGACAAAAACAAGAUGGAUCCUUGUGUCUCCAAAGGCUAUUCAGAUAGCCUUCAAAUCCAGCAAUAAUGUGGGGAUUCCCCACACCCAUAUGAAAAAUGUAGCUAGAGCCCAAGCCCCAGACGUUUCAUCCUAUGAUGUUACAAGUACCCUUACACAUGCCCUGGUUAUGCAGAGCUUCAGCAUCGUGUUGUGCCUGUUCAGAAAUGUUCUGGCUUGUAGGUUGAAGUGUCCUUCCGGAAGGUAGGAUGCCCCUCUCAUAGUCCCAAGUGUCUAUGGAAUGCAUUUAUAGUAUGUUCUUCAUAAAAAUGGUAUCAAACCUAGACUAAUCCUGUUUUAGGAAUCUUUUUCCCCUCUCUUAAUGGUCAGCUAGAUAUUGUGGGUUGGAUACAGGUUUAAUUGAAUUUUAGAGCAGGCCCAUUGAAAUCCACUGGAUGGAAGUUAGUUGCAACUAACUGAUAGUCAUACUUAAUAGUAGACCGAUUGUAACUAAGUCUGGAUCCAACUACCUUAUGUGUCAGAUUAUGAAAAGCAACCAUUUAAAGUUCACUCCUUGCAAGUUGUAACUCAAACCCAAACAACUUUUUUCUCAUGUUGUUCUUGGUUUUGAAAUUCCUCAGUAUAUCAUGAGACCUGAAUGUUCUGUUUUUCUGUUUGUAUGUCAUUUGUACAGCUGGGACAGAGUACUGUGGAAAGAAAUUGUAAUGUUGUGUGAAUUCUUACCUUUCUAAAAGAAACCAUUUAGUAUGUGAGAGCACAGCCUUAUGCUUGCUUUGAGCAUAAAACACUUUUUGAUGUAAUUAGUGGCUUCUUUGCCAUGUGGCAUGGACGGUUACUGCUCCACAGAAACAAACCCAGCCCAGCUCACACUGCCCUGAGCCUGCAGGAGUUGUUCACUUACUGAAAAAUUACUCAGUUUGGCAGUAGUUACAGCUAAGUCUCAUUAAAAGCAGUGCAAUAUGAAUUAAUACCACUAACUCGUCAGAUAGAUUUCACCGAGACUUAUCUGUGCCGUAUUAAAAUUGAUGAAGCACUGCUAUGGCAUCUUCCAUAAAGGCCAAAGUAGACUGUUUGUAGGAGAGCUAUGAUAUGCAUGUACAAGGAAGGAGUGCUGCUGCGGAGGGGAUUUAACACUUCCCUUUGUGACAUUUCCCCUACUUAAAUUGCAUUCCCACCCAGCUGCUGUCAGCUGGCCUGGACCUGGCAGCCAACAGCACUUUCCAUAGAGGACUAACUCCCUCGGCCCUGAGCUACAUCCACACACACAACCGAGUGCCUUUAAGCAAAAAGGAAAAAAAAAAAAGAUGGCUGAAGCUCUAAUCCCAGAUCCUGGUAUCUUAUCAAGUCUGGCCACAGCUGAUUUAAUUAAAGGAGCAGAGCCCAGCCAACAAGACUCUUGAGAGGCUUUUACCAAGCUUUUACCAAGAGGGGUGUUUUCCUGCUGAACAUUCAUUUUUAACACUCAUGUGACUGUAUCGGAUUGUGAACAAGAGAACCCAAAGUGUGGAAGCUCAGAGACAUUAAAUCACCUGCUGUAUUUAUGGAACCUUCCAACACUGGCAUAAAGUGGGUCAGCUAACCAGAAGUGACAUACGUCUGAAAUUUCACUUCCUCUGAGAUCUAGAUCAUGGUGUACACUGGGAGAGAAACCUUUUUUCAGAAACUCCCCCCUUUUCCAAGACACCUAUCUUUAUUGUACAUUUUACUUUGGAAUUUGAAGUUAGAAAUAUUUUGUAAACUUUUUUUGCAAUAAAUAAGGCAUGAGCCAAGGAGCCUGUUCAAAUUGAACAUGCAAGGAACCACUUGAAUUAUUAGUAUGAAGAAUCACAAAGUGUACUCUUACUCUUCAAAUGUGAUAGUCUGAAUAGGCCCCAGCGAUGGAGUCAAGAUACCUGGAAAGUUGGCUGUAAACUUCUGAACAUUUACUUUUGUUCUUAGCGUGUUAUAUUUUACAUCUUAACAAAUUUUAGUCUUUAGUGCAGGUGUUAGCAGAGCUGUAACCUUUGACUCGAAGCAUGUCCAGAUUCAACUGUGGUGACAAGUACUGCCAGGCCUGGCUUGAGACCAAGAUUUUGAUAGAGACGGCGGCGAUCGCAAACUCUAACUCGAGUGGUUAUGGCAAAGAUGAUCCUUCGUGGAGAUUGUUUCUUUGAUGGCCAGCGUUGAGGGUAAUUUUUUUAUAAAUGGCAUGGUAACUGUUAUCCAAAGUCAUGACAUUUCCUUCCUAGCACAGUAAUAUAUUGCACUUCAAGUUAGUCAUGACUCAGUCGUAACUAACCUAUUCCACUGGGGCAAUAUUUAGCUAGAUGGGGUAUUAGCAUUUCCAAUGUUAGUUUACAAUGAUGAAACAACCCCCAUAAAUUUCAUUUUUUUUCCUUCAGUGGGACUUAUUUAACUUCAAUAUGGUUCCACAUUUCAAUGAAAGAGACCUAAUUUUUGCAAAAUUGCACCUACUAUCAAAAGGAGUUACUUGUUCAGUAUUUUUCUUAUUCUGCUCCUUUUCAAGGUAUGCACACCUUUUAACUUGCAUUGAACUUUCUUAACAGUAGUGUAAGAUUCACCAGGAGCUUGACAGGGUGAGAUCAAAACAAAUGCACAAUCUGAAGACUGAUACAAAUAUACAUGGAAACGUAAGGAUGCUUUUUGUUCAGAGAUGUAUCGGUCUUAAGACAACCAUGGCCCAGUUAAUAGAAAAUAACUCUUUUCCAAAGUUACGCAUACCAGCAAAUAUGGACUGAAGUGUUAGUUUCUUCACUUCCAUGCAUGUUGUUGCAAUCAUAUGUUUUCCCUUUGACUUUAUUUGGCAAAGGAUUUAUAUUUUUAAAUAGCAUUCUAAACAUUGGAAAGAUGUAUGAAGAAUAGUCCAAUAUAAUUAUAUAUUAAAGAUUUAGUAAUUUUCCAUGAAAACAUUAAAAUGUAUUUAUGAAACAGACCACAGCACCUAUUUCAGAAAGUUACCUACAUGAUAAUGAUUAGUAGGGUCAACUGUGCUGCUUCUCUCAAAAGACUGCAGGUGACUUUUAAAGGGUUUUGAAGUACUCUACUUGCAAUUCUAAAAGGAAAUUAUGUAGAUGUUCUCUUCAGUUUAUCAUUCAAUAGGAUUACUAAAUUUGGGGAGGUUAAAAAAAUACCAGUGAGCCAGCGUAGUGUUAUUUUCCUCUAGAAACAAAACGCUGCUUUAUUGCAUCUUUUUUUUUUUUUUUUCAUUUUGAUGUGUCCGCUGGAGGAGGUGCAUAUACCAUGGCACAAAGUAAUAGUUUCUACUCAGGAAAAUGGCUGUUGGGCUGUACAAACAAGUAUACAUAUCUGGAGUGAUAAUGGGUAGGGCCAACAGUGCCUGCAUAGAUGACAUCCUACUUGAGGUCUGUGCUCUUGUUCCUUCUCCUUCAAGAGCACCAGCACUACCCAUUUCAGAUCUGUAACACAGUAGGAUGUUGGAGAGUUGCAUGAUUCUACCUUAUGGGUGAAAUGGAGGGUACAUGUGAAAAAUAUACAGGAUGGCUAGUUUAUACUUGCUCACGGGGAAUUGAGAAAUUACAACCGCCUUGUUUUACACUUUGAAAUAUUGUCAGGGAAAUUUUAGUGGUAGAUGUAUUGCUUUUCACCUUUUUGCUUCAGUUGCUUAAUAUUUAAGCUUUGCUCCAUGCUCCCUUCUACAUCUGUAUACAGUGUCACUAUGCCUCCUUCAUUUAGUUGACUUGAAUAAGGAAAAAAUUCAACUUUUACAGUGUGCUUGAAAUUAAAUGUUCAAGAAUGUUGUGUACCAUCUAUACAAAUAAAGCCUUGUUUUUUCUCUGCACUUUUAAACAAGUUAUACCAAA
Molecule: RNA transcript, 11698 nt
Organism: Varanus komodoensis (Komodo dragon)
Lineage: Eukaryota; Metazoa; Chordata; Lepidosauria; Squamata; Varanidae
Gene: PWWP2A
Gene name: PWWP domain containing 2A
Exons: 3
Source: RefSeq, a predicted model, not a curated record